Long non-coding RNA from Dermochelys coriacea (leatherback sea turtle), 1321 nucleotides. RefSeq lists it as uncharacterized. The record is from RefSeq and is a predicted model, not a curated record. NCBI's taxonomy places the organism in Eukaryota, Metazoa, Chordata, Testudines, Dermochelyidae. The transcript has 14 exons.
GUUUCGCGGCGGACAUAUAUACCGCAGGCACCGCCUCCCUCCUUCCUUUUGCUGAGCGGGCGAGGGUGGGGAGGUGGCGGUGAGGCUGGCCAUGAUACAUCAAGCAAGUUCUUCCCUCACUGGUAAUAAUAAAACUGCAGACCUGAUGCCACUUGCUAAGGAUUUAAUGGAGGAAGUUGGAAGCCCCAUAGAAGGAAGAUUCUCUGGCCUGAAAGGUGAAUCCUGAUAAUGAAAUGCUGUGUUAAACAGAUUGGCUUCGGAUGACCAACUGCCUGAUCUAUGGAGAUAAAAAUUCAACUUAAACACAGUUCCAUAUUGUUUGCAGGGAGAGUAGAGCACAGGACAUUUCACACAAAAGGCUUCCAAGGGGUGCUUGGGUAUCCUGACUGGGGUGAUUUGGAUGUAUGGAGUGCUGCUAUUAGCAGUGGUCCUGUCACUGUCUUGAAGAAACUUGGCAUUAAUAUUAGAAGAUGACGGAUGAUCAGGACAGCAUUUCAAGUGAGAGAACUGGAGCACACUUGGAAAAGAUCAUUUUGCUGAGAGAAUGAGGAGGACUCUUAUGCUGAAACAGUACAGAACUUCAAGCUGUCUCUACUAAGAAUUGGAUUCUACCAACCAGAACCUGUUGGUAAAAACUGAAUUGUUAGAGUAAAGCUCUUCAAACAUUUUAUGAAGCAAUCAGCCCACUGCCUGCCUGAGAGGGAGCAAGAUUGAUUUGAGUGGACAGUUAAGGAACCAGAAAGUGUGAGGAGUCUUUGGAUACACAUUUUGAUGUUUUAAGUUUUGCCCACAGAAGACAGUGCCCUUUCUUCUCAGGUCCUUGGGCAUAUAGCCAUGGAGGGGCUGGAGUCAAUCCUGCAGCAGUGGGUGUGUCAAGCUGAAGGGAAGCAUUCUCUCUGCCACCCCAUUUAGACUAAAAGUUUGGCCUGGAGUCCUUGUGUAACAGUCCUGCCUGUACUCAGAGCCUACCCGGACCAUUUAAGGGCUUGCAAGCAUGUUGAAAGGAUGGAUGAAGCAGCAGUGCCAGGAUCCUUGCUGUAUUCUACCCUUGCCACAGUAGGUGACGUCUUCUGGAUGAAGAGUCCUCUACAAAUUUGUGCAGAAAAGAUUUUAAGUUCAGAAUGUCUCACAGAAGCAUGUUAUAAGUGGGCAACAUUAACAUACACUUUUUGGUCUCUUCUUAAAUAGCCAAUUAAGACACUAGACCUGCUCUGAACUUGAACUUUUCUGCCAUAUGUGCUUUUUAACCAGCAUUAAGUAACUUUAGCAGUAAAAUAACAGCUGUCUAAGAAAUGUGCUAAAAUAAACUCAUUAGAAAUGA